GGCGAACGGGUGAGUAACACAUGGGUAAUCUGCCCUGCACUCUGGGAUAAGCCUGGGAAACUGGGUCUAAUACUGGAUACGACCUUUCUCCUUAUGGGGUUUGGUGGAAAGUUUUUCGGUGUAGGAUGAGCCCGCGGCCUAUCAGCUUGUUGGUGGGGUGAUGGCCUACCAAGGCGACGACGGGUAGCCGGCCUGAGAGGGUGUACGGCCACAUUGGGACUGAGAUACGGCCCAG
RNAcentral lists this ribosomal RNA (235 nucleotides) under uncultured Actinomycetales bacterium. RNAcentral describes it as "partial 16S ribosomal RNA". It matches the Rfam family "Bacterial small subunit ribosomal RNA", at positions 97 to 334 of the family's 1533-position model. The record is from RNAcentral. Lineage: Bacteria; Bacillati; Actinomycetota; Actinomycetes; Actinomycetales.